RNAcentral lists this ribosomal RNA (469 nucleotides) under Terthron albovittatum. RNAcentral describes it as "partial 16S ribosomal RNA". The stretch from base 343 to 469 matches the Rfam family "Bacterial large subunit ribosomal RNA", at positions 2473 to 2600 of the family's 2925-position model. The record is from RNAcentral. Lineage: Eukaryota; Metazoa; Arthropoda; Insecta; Hemiptera; Delphacidae.
UUUAAAUAGCUGCAGUAUUUUAACUGUACAAAGGUAGCGUAAUAAUUAGUCUUUUAAUUGAGGUCUAGCAUGAAUGGUUUGACAAGAAAAUAACUUUAUUAAUUUAAUUUAAAUGAAUUUUAUUUUUUAGUUAAAAAGCUAAAAUUUUUAAAUGGGACGAUAAGACCCUAUAGAUCUUUAAUUUUUUUAUUUAUAAGAUAUUUAAGUUAAUUACAUUUAUUUUAAUUAAAAAAUUUUUGUUGGGGUGACAUAUAAAAUUUUAAAACUUUAUAAUUUUUUUACAUUUUUUGAUGAUUAAACUUUGAACCUUAAUUUAUGUUUAUUAAAAUAAGAUACCUUAGGGAUAACAGCGUAAUAAAUUUGGAUAGUUCAUAUAGAUAAAUUUGUUUACGACCUCGAUGUUGAAUUAAUUUAAGUUUUAGGGGCAGAAGAUUAAAUUUUAGGUCUGUUCGACCUUUAAAAGAUUACA